UUUUGAAACUGAUUACCUAGAAUAUGGGAGAGGUAGAUGGAAUUUCUGGUGUAGGGGUAAAAUCCGUAGAGAUCAGAAGGAAUACCGAUUGCGAAGGCGAUCUACUGGAACAUUAUUGACGCUGAGACGCGAAAGCGUGGGGAGCAAACAGGAUUAGAUACCCUGGUAGUCCACGCCCUAAACGAUGCACACUAGUUGUUGUGAGGCUCGACCUUGCAGUAAUGCAGUUAACACAUUAAGUGUGCCGCCUGGGGAGUACGGUCGCAAGAUUAAAACUCAAAGGAAUAGACGGGGACCCGCACAAGCGGUGGAGCAUGUGGUUUAAUUCGACGAUACACGAAGAACCUUACCUGGACUUGACAUAGUAAGAACUAUCUAGAGAUAGAUGGGUGUCUGCUUGCAGAAACUUAUAUACAGGUGCUGCACGGCUGUCGUCAGCUCGUGUCGUGAGAUGUUGGGUUAAGUCCCGCAACGAGCGCAACCCUCGUCAUUAGUUGCUAACAGUUCGGCUGAGAACUCUAAUGAGACUGCCUACGUAAGUAGGAGGAAGGUGAGGACGACGUCAAGUCAUCAUGGCCCUUACGUCCAGGGCUACACACGUGCUACAAUGGGGUAUACAAAGAGCCGCAAUACAGUGAUGUGGAGCAAAUCUCAAAAAUAUCUCCCAGUUCGGAUUGUAGUCUGCAACUCGACUACAUGAAGUUGGAAUCGCUAGUAAUCGUAGAUCAGCUAUGCUACGGUGAAUACGUUCCCGGGUCUUGUACUCACCGCCCGUCACACCAUGGGAGUUGAACUCAUUCGAAGCGGGGAUGCUAAAAUAGCUACCUUCCACAGUGGAUUUAGCGACUGGGGUGAAGUCGUAACAAGGUAACCGUAGGAGAACCUGCGGUUG
RNAcentral lists this ribosomal RNA (892 nucleotides) under Hucho hucho (huchen). RNAcentral describes it as "bacterial SSU rRNA". It matches the Rfam family "Bacterial small subunit ribosomal RNA", at positions 625 to 1520 of the family's 1533-position model. The record is from RNAcentral. Lineage: Eukaryota; Metazoa; Chordata; Actinopteri; Salmoniformes; Salmonidae.